Molecule: ribosomal RNA, 266 nt
Filed under: uncultured bacterium
Lineage: Bacteria
Description: partial 16S ribosomal RNA
Rfam family: Bacterial small subunit ribosomal RNA
Source: RNAcentral
GUCCUAGCUGUAAACGAUGAGAACUAGGUGUGGGAGGUAUCGACCCCUUCCGCGCCGACGCUAACGCAUUAAGUUCUCCGCCUGGGGAGUACGGCCGCAAGGUUAAAACUCAAAGGAAUUGACGGGGCCCGCACAAGCGGUGGAGCAUGUGGUUUAAUUCGACGCUACGCGAAGAACCUUACCUGGGCUCGAACGACUGGUGGUAGUUCGGAUGAAAGUCUGGGCGACCCGCAAGGGAGCCAGCCGAGGUGCUGCAUGGUUGUCGU